GAUGAACGCUAGCUACAGGCUUAACACAUGCAAGUCGAGGGGAAACGACAUCGAAAGCUUGCUUUUGGUGGGCGUCGACCGGCGCACGGGUGAGUAACGCGUAUCCAACCUGCCCGCCACUUGGGGAUAACCUUGCGAAAGUAAGACUAAUACCCAAUGAUAUCCCACGAAGGCAUCCGAAUGGGAUUAAAGAUUUAUCGGUGAUGGAUGGGGAUGCGUCUGAUUAGCUUGUUGGCGGGGUAACGGCCCACCAAGGCAACGAUCAGUAGGGGUUCUGAGAGGAAGGUCCCCCACAUUGGAACUGAGACACGGUCCAAACUCCUACGGGAGGCAGCAGUGAGGAAUAUUGGUCAAUGGGCGAGAGCCUGAACCAGCCAAGUAGCGUGCAGGACGACGGCCCUAUGGGUUGUAAACUGCUUUUAUAAGGGAAUAAAGUGAGCCUCGUGAGGCUUUUUGCAUGUACCUUAUGAAUAAGGACCGGCUAAUUCCGUG
Molecule: ribosomal RNA, 492 nt
Filed under: uncultured bacterium
Lineage: Bacteria
Description: bacterial SSU rRNA
Rfam family: Bacterial small subunit ribosomal RNA
Source: RNAcentral